AUCUAUUUUGACUCGCAACGAAGACAAAACUUUCACCGGCAAAGCUACAGGCGAAAAGAAAAUUGUGAGCAGGAUCUGGUAUUUCAAGAGAAGAGAGCUUUGUUUCUCGUAAGCCAGAAGAUCCCGGUGAAAAGCGUAAAUAUAUAGUUGGACGAGGUAAAAUGAAAAACAAACUCUUCGUUUGACGUAAUGCCACGUGGUAACACGCGCGAUGCACAUCGUCGGGGAGUCGUAUCGUGUAAAAGAACGCGUUCACAGAAACGAAAUUUACGAGGGUCGAGGAGAGACAUGUGCGCGCGGAGCUUUCUUUCGGUGGAAGUAUAGGGAACCAGAGAGAAGGGUGGAAAAACGUGGGAGCACCAUCAACACCCAUGGUAUGUGUACAGUGCAUAGUGACUCGAUGCCAGAGACAAAAGAACUCGCGGGGAUACGACAUCGUUAAAGAACGCCUAGGAAAAAAAUAACCAGCUGACGGAAUAAUAAACUGAAACUAUCCGUACAAAUAUAGAGCACGGCCAUUAAAUUCGUGGAAGAACAAAUAAAUGCAUUCUACGAAAGCUCCAGUAUUUAUUCAUAGUGGUGCUAGUUCCCAGUUUAUUUUUCGAUAAUAGCACCAGUCUUCAAUUGUAAAUAACUUUUUUUUUUUAUGUACAUCUGGUACGAUGCACACGCUGAAAUGCUAUAUGCAACGUAAAUAGAUCGCAAAGGGAAAGUCACGAUCGAGACAAGCCAGAGAUAAGACAUUGAAUUAACGUAUAUAAACAGAGUGAACGUUGCGCGAAGAAGCUGAAGAUCGUAUUUACGGACGACCACUUAUUUCGUGUUAUGUUAAUGUCCAUUGUGUCGAUGUAAAAAUGCCACGUUAUUUUUUUCCAACUCCAUCAACCCUUACCAACUGGACGGUUAUUUGGGAGCAGGCUAAAGUAUGGAAAAUAUCGGUAUUGAAUUACACGGCGGCCACUAUAAUAUUUACAUGUUGGAUAUGCGAUUGGAAAGCAGUGUGCAAACAUGUUCCAUUCUAUGGUAGCAAAUACGAGAGAGGAACGCCACGGAAAUACUCGCACUAUUAGCGUUACACUAUCAGCAAACAGUGAUU
Molecule: long non-coding RNA, 1096 nt
Organism: Bombus pyrosoma
Lineage: Eukaryota; Metazoa; Arthropoda; Insecta; Hymenoptera; Apidae
Exons: 3
Source: RefSeq, a predicted model, not a curated record